RNAcentral lists this ribosomal RNA (542 nucleotides) under uncultured archaeon. Its description in RNAcentral is "bacterial SSU rRNA". It matches the Rfam family "Bacterial small subunit ribosomal RNA", at positions 509 to 1050 of the family's 1533-position model. The record is from RNAcentral.
CAGCCGCCGCGGUAAUACGUAGGGGGCGAGCGUUGUCCGGAAUGAUUGGGCGUAAAGGGCGCGUAGGCGGCUUUGCAAGUCAGUAGUGGAAGUCCAUUUUUCAAGGAUGGAAGUGCUACAGAAACUGCGGAGCUUGAGUGCAGGAGAGGUUAUCGGAAUUCCCGGUGUAGCGGUGAAAUGCGUAGAGAUCGGGAGGAACACCAGUGGCGAAGGCGGGUAACUGGACUGCAACUGACGCUGAGGCGCGAAAGUGUGGGGAGCAAACAGGAUUAGAUACCCUGGUAGUCCACACUGUAAACGAUGAAUGCUAGGUGUAGGAGGUAUCGACCCCUUCUGUGCCGCAGUAAACACAGUAAGCAUUCCGCCUGGGGAGUACGGUCGCAAGAUUAAAACUCAAAGGAAUUGACGGGGGCCCGCACAAGCAGCGGAGCAUGUGGUUUAAUUCGAAGCAACGCGAAGAACCUUACCAGGUCUUGACAUCCAGUUAAACUUGUAGAGAUAUGAGGUCCCUUCGGGGGAACUGAGACAGGUGGUGCAUGGCC